This 253-nucleotide ribosomal RNA is filed under the name uncultured bacterium. RNAcentral describes it as "partial 16S ribosomal RNA". It matches the Rfam family "Bacterial small subunit ribosomal RNA", at positions 524 to 776 of the family's 1533-position model. The record is from RNAcentral.
UACGUAGGUGACAAGCGUUGUCCGGAUUUACUGGGCGUAAAGAGCGCGCAGGCGGUCGAUCAAGUCGAGUGUGAAAGCCCCCGGCUCAACUGGGGAGGGUCAUUCGAUACUGAUCGACUCGAAGGCAGGAGAGGGUAGUGGAAUUCCCGGUGUAGUGGUGAAAUGCGUAGAUAUCGGGAGGAACACCAGUGGCGAAGGCGACUACCUGGCCUGUUCUUGACGCUGAGGCGCGAAAGCUAGGGGAGCGAACGGG